Molecule: ribosomal RNA, 501 nt
Filed under: uncultured bacterium
Lineage: Bacteria
Description: bacterial SSU rRNA
Rfam family: Bacterial small subunit ribosomal RNA
Source: RNAcentral
AUUGAACGCUGGCGGAAUGCUUUACACAUGCAAGUCGAGCGGCAGCGCGGGGCAACCUGGCGGCGAGCGGCGAACGGGUGAGUAAUACAUCGGAACGUGCCCAGACGUGGGGGAUAACUACUCGAAAGAGUGGCUAAUACCGCAUACGAUCUAAGGAUGAAAGCGGGGGAUCGCAAGACCUCGCGCGUUUGGAGCGGCCGAUGGCAGAUUAGGUAGUUGGUGGGGUAAAGGCUUACCAAGCCCGCGAUCUGUAGCUGGUCUGAGAGGAUGAUCAGCCACACUGGGACUGAGACACGGCCCAGACUCCUACGGGAGGCAGCAGUGGGGAAUUUUGGACAAUGGGCGAAAGCCUGAUCCAGCCAUUCCGCGUGCAGGAUGAAGGCCCUCGGGUUGUAAACUGCUUUUGUACAGAACGAAAAAGACUCUUUCUAAUACAGAGAGUCCAUGACGGUACUGUAAGAAUAAGCACCGGCUAACUACGUGCCAGCAGCCGCGGUAAUC